This 352-nucleotide unclassified non-coding RNA is filed under the name plant metagenome. RNAcentral describes it as "partial contains small subunit ribosomal RNA, internal transcribed spacer 1, and 5.8S ribosomal RNA". The record is from RNAcentral.
UUUCCGUAGGUGAACCUGCGGAAGGAUCAUUAUAAAUGAAAAACGAAUAACUUCAGGGAAGAAGGGAACCUGCACGGUGACCUCCCCUGUCGGGCCACCCAAUACCUUCAAAAUGCCGCCGUCCUAGCGGUGGCAGACGAAAAAAAAACAAGAAAAACAAAAUAGAAACAGGCACGGUGGCCCGUUCACCUUCACACAACCCUCCGAGUACCGCUUCCAUGUUGCUUCCCCGCAAAUCCACCUCUUUGGUGAGCGCGGGGGAGGUCCGCAUCAAAUUCACCUGAAUGUCACAGCAGUCAGACAGCCAUUCAUGGAAACAAUAAAACUUUCAACAACGGAUCUCUUGGCUCUC